Molecule: ribosomal RNA, 253 nt
Filed under: uncultured bacterium
Lineage: Bacteria
Description: partial 16S ribosomal RNA
Rfam family: Bacterial small subunit ribosomal RNA
Source: RNAcentral
UACGUAGGGGGCUAGCGUUGUCCGGAAUCAUUGGGCGUAAAGGGUGCGUAGGUGGUCGGGUAAGUCUGAUGUGAAACCUCGGAGCUCAACUCCGAAACUGCAUUGGAUACUAUCCGGCUUGAGGAGUGGAGGGGGGACUGGAAUUCCCGGUGUAGCGGUGAAAUGCGCAGAUAUCGGGAGGAACACCGGUGGCGAAGGCGGUUCUCUGGGCCUUACCUGACGCUGAGGAGCGAAAGCGUGGGGAGCGAACAGG